RNAcentral lists this signal recognition particle RNA (173 nucleotides) under Clostridium sp. Its description in RNAcentral is "partial signal recognition particle sRNA large type". It matches the Rfam family "Bacterial large signal recognition particle RNA", at positions 92 to 256 of the family's 256-position model. From Rfam's summary of the family: The signal recognition particle (SRP) is a universally conserved ribonucleoprotein involved in the co-translational targeting of proteins to membranes. Archaeal SRP consists of a 7S RNA and homologues of the eukaryotic SRP19 and SRP54 proteins. The record is from RNAcentral. Lineage: Bacteria; Bacillati; Bacillota; Clostridia; Eubacteriales; Clostridiaceae.
GCCCCUGGUAAGUGGCGAUGACGUUUGGGUCUUACGCAACAGAUCUUCAUGAACCGUGUCAGGGCAGGAAUGCAGCAGCACUAAGUGAAACCUUCUGUGUGCCGUGAGGGUGCCUGGACCGAGUUAACUGCCAGGGUAACGCCUGUGAUAGCGGUUCAAAGUGAGACGCACGG